GCCGAGCUCGGUUACGAGAGCUUGUAACCCGAGUGGGGGCAUUAAGGUGGUGUGGACGCUGUUGUAGCGCUGCAGGCCUGGUCUGGGUGUGCUACUGCUGGCCCGCCCGUUCCAAGUUGAGUAGUGGACCGCCUGGGGCCUAAGCGAAAGCUAGGCCUCACGGUCCAUAAUGUGGUAGGCACAGCGUGAGGCUGGCUUCACAGAGCAGCGAUAACUGCCCGCUUCCAACGGUGGAAGGAUAACGGGCCGCUGCACUCCUAGACCACUUGGGCCUCGCAGCCUACUCCAACGGACCAUCACUUUU
Non-coding RNA from Triticum aestivum (bread wheat), 304 nucleotides. NCBI's taxonomy places the organism in Eukaryota, Viridiplantae, Streptophyta, Magnoliopsida, Poales, Poaceae. The record is from Rfam.